AUACGUAGGGGGCAAGCGUUAUCCGGAUUUACUGGGUGUAAAGGGAGCGUAGACGGUAAAGCAAGUCUGAAGUGAAAGCUCGGGGCUCAACCCCGGAACUGCUUUGGAAACUGUUUUACUGGAGUGCAGGAGAGGUAAGCGGAAUUCCUAGUGUAGCGGUGAAAUGCGUAGAUAUUAGGAGGAACACCAGAGGCGAAGGCGGCUUACUGGACCGUAACUGACGUUGAGGCUCGAAGGCGUGGGGAGCAAACAGGAUUAGAUACCCUGGUAGUCCACGCGGUAAACGAUGAUCACUAGGUGUCGGCGGCCAUAGGCGGUCGGUGCCGCAGCAAACGCAAUAAGUGAUCCACCUGGGGAGUACGUUCGCAAGAAUGAAACUCAAAUGAAUUGACGGGG
This 396-nucleotide ribosomal RNA is filed under the name uncultured bacterium. RNAcentral's name for it is "partial 16S ribosomal RNA". It matches the Rfam family "Bacterial small subunit ribosomal RNA", at positions 523 to 918 of the family's 1533-position model. The record is from RNAcentral.